CGUAAGGUUUAGGUUAGUAACCUUCCGGCGGUCCUACGAAACGAAAACCGAAACCGUCGUCGGGGCCGGUCGGUUCGUUAACGUUAACGACUAGUCGAACGUAGUUAGACGGCGACGAAGGAGGAGAGCUCCCUACCGUAGACGAGCGGACUGGUGAGUAACGCGUGGGUAAUCUAUCUUAGGCAUGGGGAUAGUCACUAGAAAUAGUGGGUAAUACCGAAUAAGUUCCAUAAGGGGAGGACUUAUGGAAGAAAGGUGCUACGGCACUGGCCUUAGGUGAGCUCGCGUCCCAUUAGCUAGUUGGUGAGGUAAAGGCCCACCAAGGCGAUGAUGGGUAGCCGGCCUGAGAGGGUGUACGGCCACACUGGGACUGAGAUACGGCCCAGACUCCUACGGGAGGCAGCAGCUAAGAAUAUUCCGCAAUGGACGGAAGUCUGACGGAGCGACGCCGCGUGGAUGAAGAAGGCCGAAAGGUUGUAAAGUUCUUUUGCUAGGGGAGAAUAAGUGUGGGAGGGAAUGCCUGCACGAUGACAAGGACUAGCGAAUAAGUCCCGGCCAAACUACGUGCC
Molecule: ribosomal RNA, 569 nt
Filed under: uncultured bacterium
Lineage: Bacteria
Description: bacterial SSU rRNA
Rfam family: Bacterial small subunit ribosomal RNA
Source: RNAcentral